UACGGAGGGUGCAAGCGUUAAUCGGAAUUACUGGGCGUAAAGCGCACGCAGGCGGUUUGUUAAGCUAGAUGUGAAAGCCCCGGGCUCAACCUGGGAAUAGCAUUUAGAACUGGCAGGCUAGAGUCUUGGAGAGGGGAGUGGAAUUCCAGGUGUAGCGGUGAAAUGCGUAGAUAUCUGGAGGAACAUCAGUGGCGAAGGCG
Molecule: ribosomal RNA, 200 nt
Filed under: uncultured bacterium
Lineage: Bacteria
Description: partial 16S ribosomal RNA
Rfam family: Bacterial small subunit ribosomal RNA
Source: RNAcentral